RNAcentral lists this long non-coding RNA (3401 nucleotides) under Homo sapiens (human). RNAcentral's name for it is "HSALNT0346386". Lineage: Eukaryota; Metazoa; Chordata; Mammalia; Primates; Hominidae. The record is from RNAcentral.
GCGGUCGCCGCGCUCGCGUGUUUGCGGAGUGCGCCUGGAGGGGGCGCUGGAGUAUGUGUGUGCCGGGGCGGGGUGGCUUCCGGGCACGAGUUGCUGACAGCGCCUCGCGGUUGAUAAAUCCUGAGGGCGGCGGCUACCCUGCACUCCAUCGGUGCCUUUGGGAAGCGCCGCCUUCUCUGUUGUACCCGGCCGUGGGUCAGGUCGGCGCGGCUGGCGGUGGAGUCUCGGACACCGAGCCCUGGACCCCGACUCUGGAAGCCCCCAGCCCCACUGGGCCGCGGCAGGGCGCCCACCCUCCACAAUCUCAGUUCCCAGCCGGGGAGUGAGGGGCUGGGCGGGUCUCUCCACCGCUUUGGAGACCUCAGGACUUGGAUACGCUUUUGAGUGGUCCCAGUCGUCCUGAUCCACGAAGGCGUGGAGUGGAAGUCAGGACCAGGGGUCGCCCCAGUGACGCAGGAAGUCAAGCCCAGAUGCGGUGAGGCGUCGCCAGCCUUGGACCCAGCAGUGGGCGCUGGUGACAGUGGCGACCUCGCCGAUGAGAGGUUCGCCCUCCCUAGCAUUAGUUGUCACUUUGGUGAAAUGGAGCGUGGGUGGCAGCUCCUCCACACACAAGCCCUUUGCUGAGGUGGUGCGGGGGGUUCUCUCCACGCUUGCUAAGGGCAGGUAGUUGGCUGACUUUGAACUAUGAAGAAAAGCCAGAAACAAAAUGGCAGAAUGGUAUGACUCUGGGUGGGCUUAGGGACGCUGGUGCCAGAGGACUUGGCUUGAACCCGCUCCAACACUUACAACCUGAGUGACCGUGAGAAAGAACUGUAACUCCUCUAAACUUCAAGUUCCUCACUUCUCAAAUAAGAACGUGAAUAGUACCUCCCUCCUAGAGUUGUGAGGAUUGAGUUAGAAAAUGCUAGCAAUUGUUAUGCCCUAAGGAACAGCACAAGAUACAAUAACACGUGAUAAUGUGUGUCGAAGGUGCAGAAAUGCAGUCGCUGCCGUGAGAAUUUCUCAUUCAUUCACUGAAUUAACAUUUGCCGAAAACCCCCACGUAUCGACCUGUGCUGGAUGCUGGAGAUGCUGCAAUGACUGCUGUCACAGGCAUUGUCCCUGUGGUUACAGGGCCCAGCAGGAAAGACAAAUGAGAAGCAAGGGAUUGCAAUGCAGUGUGAUGAAUAAGGAACGCAUAGGGGGUGGGAGGAGUGCUGUAGAGAUGGCUGACCUAGAGUCAGGGAAGACCCUCUACCUUGAAACCUGAAAAUGAGAAAGGAUCCCUCAAAUGCAGGGAUAGAUGGACAGAGAAAAAAGUACAUAAGGAAGGCUCUGCAGAUGAGCAAGUUAAGUAUAGCUGAGCUGGAAUGGUAGGAAGAGCGCAGGGAGAUCAGGCUGGAAAGGGUCUUGCUCUGCUGCUGACACUGGCCUUGAGCUGCUGGUCUCAAGCGAUCCUCCAGCCUCAGCCUCCUGAGUUGGGAUUACAGGCACAAGCCACAGUGCUCGACUUUUUAUUUAAUCUUGUUAGAAGACAAGACAGAAACAUGUCCGUUGUGAAAACAAGCCAGAAAGUGAUCCGCUGCCAGCGACAGGGAGACACACAACUGGUCCUUAUUCUAAAGACCCGACCCAGCCUGGAAUGGGGCCCGGCGAGGAGUUCUUGCGCCGGCCGCGGGGACUGGGCGGUAAUGAGCCGCUAGUCUCGGAAGGUGGUGCUGUUGGGUGUGAGGGGAGAUCCGGCUUGCGCUGAAACAGCGAGCGGCGUGCAAGGAGGAAGCCGCGAUUUCCAAGGCGGAUUCCCUUCGCUGGGACACAACUCUUGAGAAUAAGACUUAUAAGGACUCUGAGAGUUUGAGGCAGAGGCAGAACGGCUCUGGGCUGAGUGAUGGGGAGGAUACCAGCACUCAGCGCGGGUGGCGGGCGCGGGGCCGAGCGCGCGCAUCCAGGGACGCCUUGGGGACGGGACGCGGAGAAAAGUUGCCGGGCGGAGAGAAAGGGUGGCGCUGGAAACCAAAUGGCUUUCAUCCCCUGGAGACAAAGAGGUGCCUUCUUUUGACAACAGCUGCCAGUGACACACACACCAUACGGCGGGGCCGGCGGGGGAGGGGAGCCCGGGAGGAGAGCGUCUAAGGCGGGGACCGGCACUGACUUUCAAUAAUGGGGUGGUUGCCAUGGUGACGGGCCAGGCAUCUAAAGGGGCGGCUGAAAGCACCCAUUGUUCUGGGGCCCGGCUGCUCGGGUUGUGCCUGUUCCUAAGAGACACCUUUAGACACCUCCCUCCGUGCAGGGGCGAGCUGCGGCCCGGGGCUGGGAGCGUCUCCGCGGGAGUUUCACACCAGGGCCCCAGGCCGCAGAUCGCAGCGCCGCCUUGGCUGCACGCGCGCUGCAUACGGAGGGCAGCGCCGCCUCCCACGCACUAUCCGCCCGAAAUCCGAGCGCGACGCGCGCCCGCCUGGGCCCAGACGCGCAGGCCGGGACACGCAGCUCCGCCUGCUCCCCGCUGUCCCGGGGAGACUUCGAAUAACAAUGCGGAGCAGGACCCGGUGACUCCACAAAUAACUCGCUGAGGUCUGGGGCGAGGGCACUCGGGAAAACCCCGCAGUCACUUUGCAGUCGUGCUGGAAGGAAAAGCAGAACGGAAUCACAGGAUAAAGAAGAUUAAAAGUAACAGGGCAGCGUUGCAAUGUUGCUUGUAAGAGCAAGCAGCUGGAAACAACCUAAAAGCCCGUCCCUGGGGGCUGGGUGAAUGAUAUGGGGCGCAUCCCUCUGAGGGAACACUAAGCUGCCAUUAAAGAGUACAGGGCAGCUGUAUUUGCUGAGACGUGGAAAUUUUCCGGUGUAUUCUAAGUAAUAAAGUGCAGAAGAGUGUGAGUAGGGCUGUGUGUAUGUGGUAUGUGUGUUUGCAUCUCUGGAAGUGGUUGCUUCUUAGGAUGGUCACUGUGGGACUAGGAGUGGAGGAGAGAAAGAAAACUUGCUUUUCACCGUACUAGAAUCUUCUGCACCUUUUGAAUUUUGCCGUUUAUACUAUGUCUUUACCUGUAAAGAAAAAAGAACUUUGAAAUAAAGUUGCAUUUGCUUGAACACUGUCUAAUGAGAUGUGCCACUCUCCAUAAAGCAUCUGAACUCAUUUUUAGUGCUUUAAUAAAUAUUAAUUUUUAAAAUAUAUAUGCACAAAUGCUAUUAGCCCACAGAUAUGUAAAGGUAGUGACAGUGGCAAGUUAGAGAUGAAAAGAUACACUUCUUUCCUGCCUUCCUGUGGUGCCGAGACGGACGGAGCCAGCUGUCAUUCAAGGAGCCUGCUGUAUAACCCAUCUAUUAUUAUAUCACAUUAAUCAUAGGGAUCUCACAUUAAACAAACAUGACAUUAGGGAAAUUUUCCUAGUUACAAAAUGGUAUAUAAUCAGUGAAAUGGACUAUUG